Molecule: transfer RNA, 76 nt
Filed under: Burkholderia ubonensis
Lineage: Bacteria; Pseudomonadati; Pseudomonadota; Betaproteobacteria; Burkholderiales; Burkholderiaceae
Description: tRNA-Thr
Rfam family: tRNA
About the family: Transfer RNA (tRNA) molecules are approximately 80 nucleotides in length. Their secondary structure includes four short double-helical elements and three loops (D, anti-codon, and T loops). Further hydrogen bonds mediate the characteristic L-shaped molecular structure. tRNAs have two regions of fundamental functional importance: the anti-codon, which is responsible for specific mRNA codon recognition, and the 3' end, to which the tRNAs corresponding amino acid is attached (by aminoacyl-tRNA synthetases). tRNAs cope with the degeneracy of the genetic code in two manners: having more than one tRNA (with a specific anti-codon) for a particular amino acid; and 'wobble' base-pairing, i.e. permitting non-standard base-pairing at the 3rd anti-codon position.
Source: RNAcentral
GCUCUUGUAGCUCAGUCGGUAGAGCACUUCCUUGGUAAGGAAGAGGUCGUGGGUUCGAAUCCCGUCGAGAGCACCA